CAGUGAAACUGCGAAUGGCUCAUUAAAUCAGUUAUCGUUUAUUUGAUAGUACCCUUACUACCUUGGAUAACCCGUGGUAAUUUCUAGAAGCUAAUACAUGCUAAAAACCCCCAACUUCGGGAGGGGGUGUAUUUAUUAGAUAAAAAACCAAUGCCCUUUCGGGGCUCUUUUGGUGAUUCAUGAUAACUUAACGGAUCGCAUGGCCUUGCGCCGGCGACGGUUCAUUCAAAUUUCUGCCCUAUCAACUUUCGAUGGUAAGGUAUUGGCUUACCAUGGUUUCAACGGGUAACGGGGAAUUAGGGUUCGAUUCCGGAGAGGGAGCCUGAGAAACGGCUACCACAUCCAAGGAAGGCAGCAGGCGCGCAAAUUACCCAAUCCCGACACGGGGAGGUAGUGACAAUAAAUACUGAUACAGGGCUCUUUUGGGUCUUGUAAUCGGAAUGAGUACAAUUUAAACCCCUUAACGAGGAACAAUUGGAGGGCAAGUCUGGUGCCAGCAGCCGCGGUAAUUCCAGCUCCAAUAGCGUAUAUUAAAGUUGUUGCAGUUAAAAAGCUCGUAGUUGAACCUUGGGCCUGGCUGGCCGGUCCGCCUCACCGCGUGUACUGGUCCGGCCGGGCCUUUCCUUCUGGAGAACCCCAUGCCCUUCACUGGGCGUGGUGGGGACCAGGACUUUUACUUUGAAAAAAUUAGAGUGUUCAAAGCAGGCCUUUGCUCGAAUACGUUAGCAUGGAAUAAUAGAAUAGGACGUGCGGUCCUAUUUUGUUGGUUUCUAGGACCGCCGUAAUGAUUAAUAGGGACAGUCGGGGGCAUCAGUAUUCAAUUGUCAGAGGUGAAAUUCUUGGAUUUAUUGAAGACUAACUACUGCGAAAGCAUUUGCCAAGGAUGUUUUCAUUAAUCAGUGAACGAAAGUUAGGGGAUCGAAGACGAUCAGAUACCGUCGUAGUCUUAACCGUAAACUAUGCCGACUAGGGAUCGGGCGAAG
This 983-nucleotide ribosomal RNA is filed under the name Forliomyces uniseptata. RNAcentral's name for it is "SSU rRNA". It matches the Rfam family "Eukaryotic small subunit ribosomal RNA", at positions 79 to 1062 of the family's 1831-position model. Lineage: Eukaryota; Fungi; Ascomycota; Dothideomycetes; Pleosporales; Sporormiaceae. The record is from RNAcentral.